GACGAACGCUGGCGGCGUGCCUAAUACAUGCAAGUCGAACGGAAAGGCCCUGCUUUUGUGGGGUGCACGAGUGGCGAACGGGUGAGUAACACGUGAGUAACCUGCCCUUGACAGAGGGAUAACAUCAGGAAACUGCGGCUAAUACCGCAUAGGAGCUCCUGCUGCAUGGUGGGGGGUGGAAAGUUUCGGCGGUUGGGGAUGGACUAGAUGGUUACAAGCUUGUUGGUGGGGUAGUGGCUUACCAAGGCUUUGACGGGUAGCCGACAUGAGAGGGUGGCCGGCCACAUUGGGACUGAGAUAGGGACCAGACUCCUACCUGCGGCAGCAGGGGGGAAUAUUGCACAAUGGGCGGAAGCCUGAUGCAGGAACGCCCGGUGCGGGAAGACGGCCUUUGGGUUGAAAACAACUUUCGCCUGUGACGAAGCGUGAGUGACGGUAAUGGAUAAAGAAGCACCGGCUAACUACGUG
RNAcentral lists this ribosomal RNA (468 nucleotides) under uncultured bacterium. Its description in RNAcentral is "partial 16S ribosomal RNA". It matches the Rfam family "Bacterial small subunit ribosomal RNA", at positions 28 to 507 of the family's 1533-position model. The record is from RNAcentral.